RNAcentral lists this long non-coding RNA (1761 nucleotides) under Homo sapiens (human). RNAcentral's name for it is "PREDICTED lncRNA (TCONS_00209334)". Lineage: Eukaryota; Metazoa; Chordata; Mammalia; Primates; Hominidae. The record is from RNAcentral.
CACGCACGCACACACACGCACGCACGCGCACACACACACGCGCACACACACGCACACGCCCGCGCACACACUCUCUCACACACACACAGAGAUUGGAGAGAGACAGGAGAGAGACAUGUUUUCAUCUAUCCUUUGUGGACUUCUGUUGUUUUUACUGCUGUGAAAUUUGACUUGCGAUAUCUGCUUGUAAAACAUCAUCAAAUCCAAAUUCAUUAUAUUCCACUUUUUCUAUUACAUGGUUUCUGCUUCACUGAUUCAUAUCUGUUUUACCUAUUCUGUAAGGGAGGAGAAGCUGCGUUAGGUUUCAUCUCUUGUUUAAGUUCAGUUUAAUAAAUAGUAGAUAAUGCCUCUUCUCUUUUUUCCUUUUGAAGAGGAGAAAAAGGAAAGAAUUGUAGUUGAUUCUUAUGUAGCAACUUAUUCAUUCAUUCAGUAGCUAUAGAAGCGAAUUGUUUUGUAGGUAAUUAUUAACGAUGCUUUGGAUAAUUCCCUAGCUAACUAUUCCUUCUUUUCCAUCCCAGAAAGCAAUGAAGAGAAAAGCUGAAGUCAGUGAUUAGGAGUGUCUGUGUAAGUAAAAGCAACAGGCAAUUACUGAGUGUGGUGUGAGAGGCACGGAAAGAUUGGGAAUUCAGCAAGAAGAGGAAUUGAAGUCAAACCUCACCUACUUCCCAGAGUCUUCUGGAUUUUCUGUUAGAAGCUUCAGUAUCUGAGGAAAGGACUCAGGCAACAAAUAAACAGCUAAGAUUUUACUAGAGUAUGAAAGGGAGAGCACUGGAGUGCAGUGCGGGGAUGGAGAUGCAGCUGUGGUGGCUGGAAGUACAGGAGGGCAGCUGGAGGCACCUGGCCUCUGAAGCCUGUCUUCUUCAUCUGGGUGAGAUCUGCUGGAGUCAGGAAGGACUUCCUGCUGCAAGGAUAAAGACCUAAGAAGCAUCAUGACCUGAGAAACAGUUUCACAGGCCACUCUUGGCAGGUGAAGUGUGGUGGCGUAAUCAUGACUCACUGCAGCCUCGAACUCCGGGACUCAAGCUAAUCUCUUUCCUCAGCCUUCCCAGCAGCUGGGACUACAGGUAUAUGCCACCAAACCUAGCUAACAUUUUAAAAAAUUUUUUCUUUUGUAGAAACGGGGUCUUGCUAUGUUGACCAGGCUGGUUUUAAACUCCUUGCCUCAAGUGAUCCUCCCAUCAUUGCCUCCCAAAGUCUUGGGAUUACAGGCAUGAGCCACUGCGCCCAGCUACAAUAUAUUUUGGAUGCUGACUUUAUAUCCUGUGACUUUGCUAUGGUCGCUUAUUAUUUCUAGACAUUUUUGUUUUUGACAGAGUCUCACUGUUUUGCUUAGGCUGGAGUGCAGUGGCACAAUCUUCAUUCACUGCAACCUCUGCCUCCUGGGUUCAGGCUAUUCUCCUGCCACAGCCUUCAGAGUAGCUGGGACUGCAGGCACGCAACACCAUGCCCGGCUAAUUUUUGUAUUUUUAGUAGAGACAGGGGAAUCACGAUGUUGGUCAGGCUGGUCUCGAACUCCUGACCUCAAGUGAUCUGCCUGCCUCGGCCUCCCAAAGUGUUGGAAUUACAGGCGUGAGCCACCAUGCCUGGCCACGGUUUUUUUGAUCCUUUAGGAUUUUCUACCAAGACUGUCAUGUCAUCUAUAAUCAAGUACUCUUUUAUUUCUUUUUUUCCAAUUUGUUUGUAUUUUAUUUCUUUUUUCUCAAAGCUUAUUGUACUGACUAAGAUCCCCAGAAUAAUGUUGAAUAAAAGUAUUGGAAACAG